RNAcentral lists this small nucleolar RNA (122 nucleotides) under Echinops telfairi (small Madagascar hedgehog). RNAcentral describes it as "Small nucleolar RNA SNORA61 (ENSETEG00000025747.1)". Lineage: Eukaryota; Metazoa; Chordata; Mammalia; Afrosoricida; Tenrecidae. The record is from RNAcentral.
ACGCUCCAGUUCCCUUGCUCAUCGGAUCUAAACACUGGUCUGAGUGCUUAAAGGAGAAGGAAAAGGAAAAUUUAAACAAAAUUCCGUCCUUGUGUUAUCACAGGACCGACUUUCAAGCAAAA